Long non-coding RNA from Columba livia (rock pigeon), 8184 nucleotides. RefSeq lists it as uncharacterized. The record is from RefSeq and is a predicted model, not a curated record. The transcript has 7 exons. NCBI's taxonomy places the organism in Eukaryota, Metazoa, Chordata, Aves, Columbiformes, Columbidae.
CCGGGGGCACGCGGGGACCCCCGCGUCUGGGGGGGGGGCUGCCCCCCCCCGCCUGCGCGCCAGCCUGGCAGGGGGGCUGCGGGCGGCGGCGGCUGCUGCCAGCCGGGCGGGGGGGUGGGGGUGGUCCCAUGGGGCUUUGAUAAAAUAGCAGAGCGCGGCGCUCUGGGGGUGCACGAACCGCUCUGGGGGUGCACACACGGCUCUGGGGGUGCACGAGCCGCUCUGGGGGUGCACGAGCCCCUCUGGCCGUGCACAAACGGCUCUCGUGCUGCACGAGCCUCUCUGGUGGUGCACGAGCUGCUCAGGCCGUGCACAAACAGCUGUGGUUGGUGCACGAGCCGCUCUGGGGGUGCACAAACAGCUGUGGUUGGUGCACGAGCUGCUCUGGGGGUGCACGAGCCCCUCUGGCCGUGCACAAACGGCUCUCGUGCUGCACGAGCCUCUCUGGUGGUGCACGAGCCGCUCUGGGGGUGCACAAACAGCUCGGGUUGGUGCACGAGCCGCUCUGGGGGUGCACGAACUGCUCUGGUGCUGCACGAGCCGCUGUGGCCGUGCACACACGGCUCUGGUUGGUGCACGAGGCUCUGUGGUGCUGCACGAGCUGCUCUGGGCGUGCACAAACAGCUCUGGGCGUGCACGAGCUGCUCUGAGGGUGCACGAACACCUCUGGGGAUGCACGAGGCUCUGUAGUGCUGCACGAGCUGCUCUGGGCGUGCACAAACAGCUCUGGGGGUGCACGAACCACUCUGGGGGUGCACAAACAGUUCUGGUUGGUGCACGAACCACUCUGGGGGUGCACGAACUGCUCUGGCCAUGCACGAACCACUCUGGGGGUGCACGAACUGCUCUGGCCAUGCACGAACCACUCUGGGGGUGCACAAACAGUUCUGGGGGUGCACGAACUGCUCUGGCCAUGCACGAACCACUCUGGGGGUGCACAAACAGUUCUGGGGGUGCACGAACUGCUCUGGCCAUGCACGAACCACUCUGGGGGUGCACAAACAGCUCUGGGGGUGCAUGAACAGCUCUGGGGGUGCACAAACCGCUCUGGCCGUGCACAAAUCAAUGUUACGGUGCGCACACCCUUCUGGGGGUGCACAGAUCAAUGUAAUGGUGUACAAACCAUUUUGGGGGUGCACAAAUAAUUGUGAAGGUGCACAGACCCUUCUGGGAGUGCACAAACUGUGCUCGUAGUGCACAAACAGUUCUGGGGGUGCACAAACUGCUCCGAUGGUGCACGAACCGUGCUGGCAGCGCACAGACUGGGCUUAUAGUGCACAAACUGGUCAGGGGGUGCCCAAACCUCCUUUCUCUGGAGCCCGUGAAGCCACCGACACCCCCAUUUCUCACUGGGAAUAAUGGUUCAGCGAGAGCACUCACCUGCUCACCACGCUUCUGGCUGAGCUCCUGGAAGUCAAGCCGAGUCUUCUCCUGCUCCCGGUGGAUUCUGACCAGAACGUCCAGUUUGGACACGUUCGCAGGUCCAGGCACAUGCCGUGAGGACAUCCAGGAUGGAUGGCACUGCGUGGGAUGUGGAUCUAUGGAGCUGCGAUGGGCUCCGUGGGUGCAGGUCAUCCAGAUGGGACAGGCACGCUGGGAUGCUUUGGGUGCCACAGGUAAUGUGGGCAGUCAGGAGGCUUAGGGGCACAUUUAAGGGACAGUGUACACAGACAAUAUGGCUUACUUUUUCUACCAUAUUUGGCAUCAAUUGGUCCUCAAUGGCUGCCUCGGUGGCCAGAGCGCCAAGUUCAGUGAGGCUCUGAGGCCGGAUCCGUUCCUGAACGAACCCUGUGACCGCCGCUGUGACCUGGCUGCGUGUUUCAUCGCACGCCCCGGCGCAGAUGUUCCUUCGACACCUUCCAGAUGAAGAGGAGACGAGCAGGAGCAGCAUGUCCCGUGAGGGCGGACGAAGUCACAGAUGAUGGCGCAAAGUCCCCAACCCCGGCGCGGAGGACGGGCCACGGUGCCCCGGUCCCCCGGCAGGCCGGUGACAGCCACAGCUCCACCACCGUGGCGGAUCUCACAGUUUUGAGUGUGCCACGGAAUUUUGUGUGGACGCUUCACAAGUGCAGAUGUUGUGCGGACCGAGGGGGCUGCUGACAGUUGGCUCUUUUACCACCUCGGAAGACAUGUGAAGCAAUUUGGAACGGUGUGCUGUGAGCUGAAGUGCUCUGUUAACAUGCUGCUUCAACGCACAAGGGUGUUCUCUGCCCUCAGAGCUGGGGAGCGGAGCCGCGGCUUGGGGAGCUGGCGGCGCGGCGGGGGCCCCGGCGUGUCCCCUCGGCCACCUGGGACCACCCGUCCACAUCCGCUGGUGACACAGCAGGUGGGCCGCCCUGAUCCCGUGGGGCAGGUGCUGGGGUGACGCUGGGGACGCGGGGACGGUCCGGAGCCGGCGACAUGUCCUGCCAGCAGGCUGAGUAAACUUCAACCGACCUGUGGAAGUCCAUGGAGCGGUGAACAACGCGGCUGGGCUGGAGAACAACCACCAGUUUUCCAGGGAUGCGCAAGGUGAAAUACGGGCGAGCACGUCGACCUGCCCUUGGGUACCAGUGCGUCAGGCAGCUGCCCUGCUGACCCCAUCCAAGCUCUGAAGCACGUUUCUGGUCUGUGUUCCCCCCGGGAGAAAACCUCAGGCAGCUGAUGCGGCGUCGGUGUCAGAGUGCUGACUGCACACAACUGUAAUGGUUUCCAUCCAUCUCGGGCAGCCUGGAAGCAGGCGCAGGAGCAUCCUGGCACAGCACAGCUGUCCCCGGGACAGGGACACCGGUGCGUUGGCUCCGCGGUGACGCGUGUGACCCCGAGGACACGUCCCGGGCUGCACUGUUAACUCCUCGCACACUCGCAUUUCCUCGCCCGCCUCUGCAGGUACUGGGCUCCAUCGCGAUUCACUGAACCGCAGGAACCAAAACACAGCCUCCCGUCGCUUGCUGUCCAGCUGCAGCGUGUGGACAUCAUACACCGCCGGCUCGCUUUCUACCACAAAACUGUUUGCAUGUUUAUUUUUAUAUUGAAAGAAAAGCUGGCAAACUUUUCAAUAUUUAUUUAGACUGCGCGUUAUUAAUGUUUGUAUAUUACCGUUACUCGGUUAAGAUCAAUCUCGUGUGUUGAUAAAGGGCUCAGUUUCUGGGUUUGUUUGGUUGGUUUCUCACCGGUGUCUAUUAGAAGCGGCAGAGUGACAGCCCCAAAGCGAGCAGAGCCACCACCAGGCACAGGAGCCCCAGGGUCUCAGCCCUCGACCCGCUACCAGAGCCCGGAUUUGCUGUGACUCUGUGCAGCGGAGGAUUAAUGGAAUGAAUCACCUUACCUCCCCCUAAGAUUUGCCUAGGCAUGUGAUUUGUGUCUGCUAAGCUGGUAUAAUGAUGAACAAUCCUUUUUAUUAACGUGGGUAAAAAUAGAAGCUGCAGCAAGACCUUACAUAAACCAGAGGUAACACGUGCCAGCUCCUGCCCAAAUCCCCCCGGGAGCUGUUUCGGUCUAUGAGACGUUGGCAUCAAACAAGCAAGUCGACUGUUGAGAAAACAGGAAAACACGGUGUAAAGGCGCUCUGGGGCUUUCCUUCCCCUGUGUCCCACAAAAUAAUGUCAUAUUAAUACCUGGGGUGCGUGUGGGUGUGGGAGUGUUGCACGCACGUGGGCACCCACACACGUGCACUCACGUGUGCACACACAUAUGCACACACACGCAUGCACUGUAACAUGAACAUCAGGAGCUCACGUCACGAGUGAAGAACAUGCACGCUAGUUUGUGCAGAUUAACGCCGUGGAGAACACCCAUCCCUGGUGAAAUACCUUUUCAAACGCUUUCUCACUGACCUGAAUGAGCCGCUCCCGAGAUACGACUGACUGAACCAACUUAGAAAAGGUUCCCUUUCGAAAAACAUCAUAUUCGAAAACCUGACAGCUUUUUGUUCAGUCUUGCCUGCUCUUAGGAAGUUUAAAGACCAAAUUAGCAAUGCAAUCAUGAGAAAAAGAAUCGGAGGCUUCUCCAAGCUGUCAAGUGCGUGUUGCUGGAUGAUUAAUUGGCAGCGCUGCGGCCAAGCCCUGGGUCCUGCUAAAGGCCAUGCCCCUUGACUCGCACCUGCCACUGUGCGCCUGAUUGCGGAAAAUGGAUGGCUUCACUCCUUUUGCUUUUUUUCCUUUGGUUGCAGCUGUUAAACUGCUCUAAGGAAAUCUUAUUUAUCUAGAACAGAAACUUGAACUUCUUCUCUAAUCUCAGGAGGAUGAAAUGAAUGUAAUUCUCCGUCUCAGGCUGACUUAUGGAAGCGAUAUUUUAGGAUGUGUAGGAAAGCUGUAAUAAUUGGACGUGACUUUGCGUUCCUUGUAUGUGAGCCGGGAUGUGUCUCCGCUCUCGUGGCCUGUGCGGGAUGCUGUCGGUCCGUGGGUGUCUGCCCCCGUGGCCAGCGCCGUGCCCGCUCCCGCGCCACAGCUGCUGCAGCUUCAGUUGCAGAACAAGGGAAUACAGAAUAUCGGGUGUCAUGUGUAGUGAUUUGCUAACGGGGGAAGGCAGCAAAUAGGAGGAACAAGUCCUCCGAGCUGCCCAAGGAAACGCAAGCGAUUCCAAAGGCUUUGUUGGGCCAAUAAAUAUUUACAGAAGUGUUCGGGGUGUGCGAGGGCUGUGUUCAGACUCCAUGUCCUUCAUAACAAAAAGAAACUCCUUUUCCCUGCGCUGGACGUGAUCCUGGGCUGUCGCCCACACACUGAAAUGCCACGUUACCUCCCUUUGUGCUUUAACUUCAAGCCUGUCCCCAGAUCCUGCCAUGGGGUAUGCGGAAAAUGAGCCAAACAAAAGGGAAGAGACCGCAUGCAAACGAAGCAUCCCAAAUAAUCCUGCUAUUUUAGAUGAAACAAAGCCAGCUCUUUCUACACACGGUGAGCCAACAAAGCAUUAAUUUGCCAUCAUUAUCUCCAUACCAACUGCCAGGCAAAAGUGAGGAAAGGGAUGGAACCUGCUCAGAAACUCGCAAUCCAAGACCCUACGUGCACAAAUGCUGGAGAAUGAAGAGGCCGUGCCCUCGGUGGGGUGGCGGUGCCACCAAAGGGUGGACGUUGGACUAGAGCAGGUACAAAGUCCAGUACACAGCACAGUCCCUGUAAGUGCUGCAGUGAAUUCAUGAUGACAUGGCUAUCCAGCUUUAGGUCUUUUCUCUAACAGGAACGGUUAUUCACCAUAUUUGAGCUAUAAUAACUUACUGAGCGAUACUUUAACAUCUGAAAAUACUGUUUGAAGAACACGGUGUCAGAAUCAAAGCAGGUUUAGGGUGACGGAAGUGAAAUACAUGUGUACAGUGAACAGAAAACCACAAGUCACCCUGCUCCCCAGUAAUAUUUUACCGUGCCAGGGACACCUGACAUAUAGAUGGGCACAAGGUUUUAGCGGCUGCAAAAGGCCCCGCUUAUAAAACAGGCUUUUCACCUCUAGGAGAUGUUUUGCAGCAUUUCUCGACUCCCAGGAGACUCAGGUACUUCUUGUUUACCCACUGAAAUCUCAGACCCUCCUGGAUACCAGGAGUAAGGAAGCUGGGACUUUAAGAACAGAGCCUCAUAUUGUGAGGCUUGCAGUCAUCUGGGAGAGCUGGAGACACUUCUGCUCUAUAAAUAACCCCCCGGUGGAGCCCAUCUGCAGCUCCCGGCUGGAAACCCCCGGGGACACGAACCGCAACAGCCUCGCCAUGCUCUGUGUGCUUAACGUGAGGAAAACUCCAAGGUAGGAUCCUUUCGUCACCCCGGACAGAAAUUGCCCCUUAUGCUUAUUUGCCCUUAAUGGGCAUUUUCUUAACAAAUGGGGCUUUUUCCUCAGAAAACAGCAGCUGAAUUGCAUAACGUGGAUGUGAGCAUGUGAGUGACUAACGGUGUAAGUUGACUCCCUCAGGGUCAAAGCAUAAUGACUGUCACUGGAGCUGAAAUAGAGAUAUUGGCUGGAUUCAGAGGCAGCUACCCCUUGGUGGGAUGAGAAGAGAACACGACGUGAAGGCUGCAUAAUGCUUUGUUCAGGCUGAGCUGUGGGUAGCAUCAUUUCUGUACGUGUCCCAGGAAGUCCUGCCAUUCGGAAGUUGCUUUGAGACCUUUGGGGAGAGGUGCCUCUAGGGACACGUAACAGCAGAGAUAACCCUGUGCUCCCCAAACCGUGCUGAGACGGCCUGCAGUUACUGUUCCUGAAGAGCACGUACUCUUCCUUCCUCGCACGCGGGGUAACGUUUCAAUCCCGCUCAUAACGCAGUGCAACAAAUAGAGAAACAAAUAAUGGAGAAGUUAACGUUGGUCCUUUAGAAGUCAAUUUCUGUGUGCGUUUAACCAUAAAAGCAACAUCUGCUCUGCUAAAUACAGGUGUUUUAUAUCCUUGUCAUUAAUUGGAGGGGACAUUAUGUCAUCAUACGUCAACAGUUAGAGUUGGUUGGAGUGCCACUUACCUCAGGUGCUAUCAUUCAUCAGACCCUCCCGUCCGGGUGCCGGACUGCCAGCGAAUGGCGAGUGAAACAAACCGAGCGUGACAAAAGUAAAGCCUUGAAUGGAUUUCCUUGCCCAGAAUCACGCCAAGUCAAGUAUCUUAUUAAGUUCAAGAGAAUUACGUUUCACAUGCUUCAGCGAGAGACAUGUACCCUUUAGAAAAUAAUAAUGAACUGCCGUUUUUUUCGCAUUCAUUUACAUACCUUUGAUAAAUUACUGUAACCAGAUUAGGGAGAUAAAAUAACUAGUCUAUUAAUUACAAUGAUUAUUAUUUAAUAGAAAAUGGGAUUCUGGGCAACGUGUAUGGUAAAAGAAAGCUUAGCAAUGCAUUAUAUGGAUGUGGUAUUUUAUCUUAAAGAGUAAGAUAAGUGUCCAGCUCUUUCUGCAAUCUAAAGAAUAUGUUCAUUACCUGUGCAAGAUUUAUAAGUAUAAUUGAGUGUAAUAUUUUAAAACUAUUUGCCUUAUUUCGUCGGACAUGGAGGACAAGGCAGAGCUGGUUCAUUCAUUAAACUGUGUAAAUUCCUCUGCAAAGUUAUCUAACAAGGCUUCCAUUUGUAAGGAAAUUACUUUCUUAUUUAAAAAGUUUGCAAGAUGAUCUUAUGAUAGUCCUGCUUUAAUUUAAGCCGGUCUGUGCAUGUGCAGUUGUCUACAUGUGUCUUUUCAUUUUAUGUAUGUCUCAUGUAGAUCCUAUUACAUCUAAUGCAUGUGUGUGUGUGUAUACACAUAUUAAAUCCAUAUACAUAUUUCUAUGCAUAUGUACACGUGUACCUGCCAAUACAGGUAUGACCAUGCAAUAAGUGACGAGCGCUGUCAGGCUGCUCUCUGCACACAGGUUUUGUGUGCAGUUUUUCAAGGGUUUCUUGGUGCUGGUUGUGGUUUUCACAGUGGAAACAGCUCCAGCACCCUCGUCCCUCUGCCUGUGCCACGCUGCAGGAUGGAUGCUCUCCCGGGUCCCUGCUGUGGCAUCAUUUGCUACCCCACCUGUGCUGCUGGGACAGGCUCAGCCUGACAUGCAUGCAGUUCUUGCGGUGUGUUUUUAAGCAAAGAACAGAAAUCACAGACUUCUUGUGAUCAAUGCCACUGCGGAAGUGAGCAAACUCCAGCCAGACCACGAAGGAGCUCUGCGUUAGCUCGAGAGCAUCUCCCACCAGACACGGGGAGCGUGCGAGGAAACGACGUAGUCUAGGGCGUUUUUACAAUAGACACUGAUAACAUGAAUACACCAGUCAUCAUCAGUUCAUUUAAUUACAUAUAUUGAAAUCAACUAUCCCUUCUAUCCCGGAAGGCUUGUGGGGGUGAAUUAGGGAUCUGAUCUGCUUCUCUCUUACUAUGGAGUAAAUGAGGAGCAACUCUCCUGAAGUAGAUACAAAGCCGAUUAAAAAGAGAUGACAGUCACCCCUAAGUACUCAACCCGUGCCUAAAGCUUCUGAGCAGCAUCUCUCAACAGGUCCCAUACACCCCAGCAGGAUACACUUACUGAGAUGAACUUUUCCAAAAGAGGGGUCAUUUGAAGCAGCCCGGUCACACAGAGCCUUACCUGCGGCCUGGGAGGCAGGGACAGAUGAGUGGUGACAUGUGCGCCGUGCGCAGCGGUGGCAGCGGAGCCCCAGUGCCGUGUGGAGCACCAGACGUGUCUGGCACAGUUACCUGUGCGCACACUGAUCCUCUCGCCCCAGCCACUGGGACCCCCGAGACCCCACAGCCACCGGCCCUGCGCCCAGGGUGAGGGACAGAUAGA